UACGGGAGGGGCAAGCGGUAUUCGGCUUGACUGGGCGUAAAGGGUUCGUAGACUGUAAAAUAAGUUACUUGUUAAACUUUAAAGCUUAACUUUAAAUCAGCUUGUAAUACUGUUUUACUUGAGUUUUAUACAGAAGAGUAGAAUUUUAUACGUAAGGGUAAAAUCUAAAGAUAUAUAAAGGAAUGCCGGUAGCGAAGGCGACUCUUUGGUAGAAACUGACGUUGAGGAACGAAAGUAUGCGGAGCAAACAGG
RNAcentral lists this ribosomal RNA (252 nucleotides) under uncultured bacterium. RNAcentral describes it as "partial 16S ribosomal RNA". It matches the Rfam family "Bacterial small subunit ribosomal RNA", at positions 524 to 776 of the family's 1533-position model. The record is from RNAcentral.